Molecule: unclassified non-coding RNA, 215 nt
Filed under: soil metagenome
Description: partial contains small subunit ribosomal RNA, internal transcribed spacer 1, and 5.8S ribosomal RNA
Source: RNAcentral
UCUCCGUUGGUGAACCAGCGGAGGGAUCAUUAUUGAGUUACUGAACUCCCAAACCCGUGUGAACUUACCACUGUUGCUUCGGCGGUCACGCCCCGGGAGCCCUGCGCGGCCCGGAGUCAGGCGUCCGCCGGAGGACCAAAAAUUCUAGCUGUUUUUGUACCAUCUGAGUCUUCCACAAAUAAACAAAACUUUCAACAACGGAUCUCUUGGUUCUG